The submitters of this non-coding RNA (93 nucleotides) gave its source as unclassified sequences. The record is from Rfam.
UCUGCCCAUCCCCGGCCGGGCUUAAAAUGCCGGGACGCCCCGGCGCGGAGUGGCCGCGCGCUUAGUAGCCAAAUCGCGGGCGGGAAAGGAAAU